RNAcentral lists this transfer RNA (67 nucleotides) under Sanguinolaria ovalis. Its description in RNAcentral is "tRNA-Leu". The record is from RNAcentral. Lineage: Eukaryota; Metazoa; Mollusca; Bivalvia; Cardiida; Psammobiidae.
GUCAGAGUGGUAGAAAAUAAAUAUAUUAGGUUUAGGACCUGAAGAUAAGAUUAUAUCUUCUUUGGCG